CCUCCUGGGUUCAAGAGAUUCUCCUUCCUCAGCCUCUGAAGUAACUGGGACUACAGCUUGCUGCAGCUUCCUGGACUCAAGCAAUCCUCCGGCCUCAGCCUCCUGAGUAGCUGGGACUACAGACAUGCACCACCACACUCGGCUAAUUUUUUUGUAUUUUUUUGUAGAAAUGGGGUCUCACCAUGUUGCCCAGGCUGGUCUGGAACUCCUGGGCUCAAGUGAUGAUCCUGCCUUGGCCUCCCAAAAUGCUGGGAUUACAGGCGUGAGCCACCGCGCCCGGCCGGCCACUAUUUAUUGAUCCCUCGAUAUGUGCCAAAUGCUGCUCUAAGAGCUUUGCAUAUAUUAAGCUACUAAAUCUACCAACCAUGCCACACAAUGUCAACAGCUCCGUGUUAGAGAUGGGAGAACUGAGGCACAGAGAGGGCAAGCCUCUUGCCUAAGAGCACAGCACGUGAUUUUUGUAAGUGACAAACAGAAUUUAACCUACAUAGUCAGGCUCCAGAGUUUAGUUUGUAAUAAUUGCAAUACACUGUCUCCUACUGAAUUUGCUGAUAGAGCUACUAUCAGCUAGUAGCUACUAUCAGAUAGAGCUACUAAGAGCUAGUAAAUUAAGGAAAUCAAAGUUUUAAUUAAUAGAUAACACCAGGUAAAAGGAGGAACAUAGAAAAAUGACUAAAUAUGAGAGCAGGGGAAGGGUUCCCAAAUUGGGCAAUAUGCUUUCUAUACCUGUUUCCCCACUUGUGAAAUAAACUACUCCACCUAGCAAACUCACACUUAGGCACCUCACUGAGAAAAAAGUAUUUCACGUGCAUACAUGAUUUAAAAAGUUAAGGGCCAGGUGUGGUGCCUCAUGCCUCUAAUCACAGUACUUGGGGGGCAGAGGCAGGAGGACCGUUUGAAUCCAGGAGUUGAAGACCAUCCUGGGCAAUAUAACAAGACGCAGUCGAAGAGAAGAGGAAGAGAAGAGAAGAGAAGGAAAGAAAUUCUGGAAGGAAGGAAGAAAGAAAAAAAAGAAGAAAAAGAAGGAAGAAAGAAAGGAAAGAAAGAAAGAAAAGAAAAGAAAGAAGAAAAAGAAGGAAGAAAGGAAAGAAAGAAAAGAAAAGAAAGAAGAAAAGAACAGAACAGCAGGUUCUUGCCUUCUCUAGAAUCCCAAGCCCUCUAUGGGAAGUAAACACUCCGACCCCUUCUGUUUCUCCUGUUAUUAUCUCUGUAUUCCCAAAUGAUAAGCUAUCACGCUUUCUGAUUUAUCAGUAUCAUAUAUUAUCUUUUGAUUUGCUGGCCUGAUAGGUAAGGACUUAGCUCUCCAAAACUCUCUCCCACAUUUCUCCUUUGCCCCACAAAAUUGUACCGGAAUUCUCUAUUAAAUCACUCUAAAUUUCUAGGACAAUGCAAAUUUUGCUCACUGCUGAACUAAGAAGCCCACUAAACCACAAUUCCUUUCUUUGUUCUUGGAAUUAGUAAUCGCCUUUUUUUUCUUAUCCUGGUUUUCCAUCAAUUUGUCAUUAUUUUUCCCCUAAUGUCCAACAUCUUUGUCUAUCGCUGCAUACAUUUAAACAUACCCAUUCCACUUUCUUCCUCAUGGUCUCCUUCCUAACCCCAUGCUGUCAUCGGGACUGGGUGCUCUCUAAGGAUGCGUUGUGCCUUGCAUGCUGGAGUCCCAUUUCCCAUGUGGCUGUUAGCACGUGAAGAGAUGGUAGUGAUGUUCACCAUGAUAAUGCUGCUGGUUUAUUGUGGAAGAUCUCAGCAGAAGUCACUGUACGUCAUUUUGUUAUCUCUCUCCUUUUUUUAAAAAAAAUGUCUGUACCCAUCCAUCCACUAACUGUAUGUCAUUUAUUGAAAGUGUAUUCCAUAUGCAUAAAUUGAGUUCACAUAUGUAAUCAGAUAGAAUUCAGAAACAGGGAUUUCAGAAACCUAGGUCCUAGGUUGUGCAAUUGCUACUAUUCAAGUAUCCUUUUCUGGAUCUCAAUUCAAAUAACCCAACUCUAAAGGAUACAUUUAUGGGACAGUUGGAGGAGUUUAAGCAGAAUAUUUGGUAUAAAAUUGCUACAAAAUUAUUAGCGUUUCAGGUAUGAUAUAGUAUUGUAGUUAUAUGUAAAAUUUUUCUUAACUUUUGGAGAUAGUUACUGGAAGAUUUCUAUAUCAAGUGAUGUCUGUGAUUUGCUUCAAAAUAAUCCUUUGUGGGGGUGAGGGAGCAAGUUGAAAUAGGGUAGGCUGAGCAUCUCAAAACUGAAAAUCGAAAAUCUGAAAAGCUCCAAAAUUCAAAACGUUUUUGUUUUGAGACAGAGUCCACUCUGUCGCCCAGGCUGGAGUGCAGUGGCACAAUCUCAGCUCACUGCAACCUCUGCCUCCCAGGUUCAAGUGAUUCUCCUUCCUCAGCCUCCCAAGUAGCUGGGAUUACAGGCACCUGCCACCACGCCUGGCUAAUUUUUGUAUUUUUAGUAGAGACGGGGUUUUGCCAUGUUGGCCAGGCUGGUCUUGAACUCCUGACUUCAGGUGAUCCGCUUGCCUCGGCCUCCCAAAGUGCUGGGAUUACAGCCAUGAGCCACCAUGCCUGGCCCAAAAUGUUUUGAGUGCUAACCGGACACUUAAAGGAAAUGCUUGUUUUGCAGCACUCAGAUUAGAGAGUUUUGGAGUUGGAAUGCUCAACCUGUAAACAUAAAGCAAAUAUUCCAAAAUGUGAAAUCUGAAACACUUCUUGUCCUAAGCAUUUUGGAUAAAGGAUUCU
This 2725-nucleotide long non-coding RNA is filed under the name Homo sapiens (human). RNAcentral's name for it is "HSALNT0385857". The record is from RNAcentral. Lineage: Eukaryota; Metazoa; Chordata; Mammalia; Primates; Hominidae.